RNAcentral lists this ribosomal RNA (434 nucleotides) under uncultured Lachnospiraceae bacterium. RNAcentral's name for it is "bacterial SSU rRNA". It matches the Rfam family "Bacterial small subunit ribosomal RNA", at positions 341 to 792 of the family's 1533-position model. Lineage: Bacteria; Bacillati; Bacillota; Clostridia; Lachnospirales; Lachnospiraceae. The record is from RNAcentral.
ACGGGAGGCAGCAGUGGGGGAUAUUGCACAAUGGGCGCAAGCCUGAUGCAGCGACGCCGCGUGAGUGAAGAAGUAUUUCGGUAUGUAAAGCUCUAUCAGCAGGGAAGAAAAUGACGGUACCUGACUAAGAAGCUCCGGCUAAAUACGUGCCAGCAGCCGCGGUAAUACGUAUGGAGCAAGCGUUAUCUGGAUUUACUGGGUGUAAAGGGAGCGUAGGCGGUGAUGCAAGUCAGAAGUGAAAACCCGGGGCUCAACCCCGUGAUUGCCUUUGGAACUGUAGGACUUGAGUACUGGAGGGGCAGGCGGAAUUCCUGGUGUAGCGGUGAAAUGCGUAGAUAUCAGGAGGAACACCGGUGGCGAAGGCGGCCUGCUGGACAGAAACUGACGCUGAGGCUCGAAAGCGUGGGGAGCAAACAGGAUUAGAUACCCUGGUA